This 253-nucleotide ribosomal RNA is filed under the name uncultured bacterium. Its description in RNAcentral is "partial 16S ribosomal RNA". It matches the Rfam family "Bacterial small subunit ribosomal RNA", at positions 524 to 776 of the family's 1533-position model. The record is from RNAcentral.
UACGUAGGUGGCAAGCGUUGUCCGGAUUUACUGGGCGUAAAGAGCGCGCAGGCGGUCGUUUAAGUCGAAUGUGAAAGCCCCCGGCUCAACUGGGGAGGGUCAUUCGAUACUGAUCGACUUGAAGGCAGGAGAGAGAAGUGGAAUUCCCGGUGUAGUGGUGAAAUGCGUAGAUAUCAGGAGGAACACCGGUGGCGAAGGCGCACAUCUGGCCCGAUACUGACGCUGAGGCGCGAAAGCUAGGGGAGCAAACGGG